This 432-nucleotide ribosomal RNA is filed under the name uncultured bacterium. RNAcentral describes it as "partial 16S ribosomal RNA". It matches the Rfam family "Bacterial small subunit ribosomal RNA", at positions 338 to 795 of the family's 1533-position model. The record is from RNAcentral.
CCUACGGGAGGCUGCAGUGGGGAAUAUUGGACAAUGGGCGCAAGCCUGAUCCAGCCAUGCCGCGUGGAUGAUGAAGGCCUUAGGGUUGUAAAGUCCUUUCGACGGGGAAGCGGUACCCGUAGAAGAAGCCCCGGCUAACUUCGUGCCAGCAGCCGCGGUAAUACGAAGGGGGCUAGCGUUGCUCGGAAUCACUGGGCGUAAAGCGCACGUAGGCGGACUCUUAAGUCGGUGGUGAAAUCCUGGAGCUCAACUCCAGAACUGCCUUCGAUACUGAGAGUCUCGAGUCCGAGAGAGGUGAGUGGAACUGCGAGUGUAGAGGUGAAAUUCGUAGAUAUUCGCAAGAACACCAGUGGCGAAGGCGGCUCACUGGCUCGGACUGACGCUGAGGUGCGAAAGCGUGGGGAGCAAACAGGAUUAGAUACCCUAGUAGUC